Molecule: unclassified non-coding RNA, 227 nt
Filed under: soil metagenome
Description: partial contains small subunit ribosomal RNA, internal transcribed spacer 1, and 5.8S ribosomal RNA
Source: RNAcentral
UUUCCGUAGGUGAACCUGCGGAAGGAUCAUUACAAAUCUCUGUUGGUGUGUGGUGGUAUGGGGGCUAGUUCUAUUAGGCAAUUUGCUUGGUAGGCUGGCUUAACCAUCCACUACACCCGACAACAUUAGCACGAGGCUGCAAGGCCUUGAUGUUUACGCUUGUUUGUUUGACAGAUUUACUGAGACUAAAAUAUAGACAACUUUUAACAAUGGAUCUCUUGGCUCUU